Ornithodoros turicata is the source of this 338-nucleotide long non-coding RNA. RefSeq lists it as uncharacterized. The record is from RefSeq and is a predicted model, not a curated record. NCBI's taxonomy places the organism in Eukaryota, Metazoa, Arthropoda, Arachnida, Ixodida, Argasidae. The transcript is spliced from 3 exons.
UGAUCCAGAACACCCAGACUUCGUGCCGUCCGUGUUUGUGUACGCAAAGCCGAGGACCGCCGCUGCCGUUGAACGAUAUCAGCGAGCUCAGAAAAGGAGACGCGCUGAGGAGCAACACGGUGAUGGUGAGCCCACGGACUCUGAGGAACAAGUGGCCAACGAUUGUGUAGAAGAAGUCCAGCCGGAGGGUGACAUGACUGAUGAUCAUGAAAGGACAUCAUGCGAACAAUGUGUGGAAACUGACAUGGCGUAUUCUGUUCCCUGCCAUAUGUGCACCUCCACCUUCCAGGAGCUCAACAAUAAUAUCAGCAAACUACAAAACACCAUUAAGGAUCUCG